This 402-nucleotide ribosomal RNA is filed under the name uncultured Eubacteriales bacterium. RNAcentral describes it as "uncultured Clostridiales bacterium partial 16S ribosomal RNA". It matches the Rfam family "Bacterial small subunit ribosomal RNA", at positions 355 to 774 of the family's 1533-position model. The record is from RNAcentral. Lineage: Bacteria; Bacillati; Bacillota; Clostridia; Eubacteriales.
UGGGGGAUAUUAGGCAAUGGGGGAAACCCUGACCUAGCGACGCCGCGUGAGGGAAGAAGGUUUUCGGAUUGUAAACCUCUGUCUUCGGGGAAGAUAAUGACGGUACCCGAGGAGGAAGCCCCGGCUAACUACGUGCCAGCAGCCGCGGUAAUACGUAGGGGGCAAGCGUUAUCCGGAUUUAUUGGGUGUAAAGGGUGCGUAGGCGGGGAGGCAAGUUGAAUGUGAAAUACCGUGGCUCAACCACGGGGCUGCGUUCAAAACUGUCUUUCUUGAGUACAGCAGAGGCAAGCGGAAUUCCCAGUGUAGCGGUAAUAUGCGUAGAUAUUGGGAGGAACACCAGUGGCGAAGGCGGCUUGCUGGGCUGAAACUGACGCUGAGGCACGAAAGUGUGGGGAGCAAACA